RNAcentral lists this ribosomal RNA (1622 nucleotides) under Terana coerulea. Its description in RNAcentral is "SSU rRNA". It matches the Rfam family "Bacterial small subunit ribosomal RNA". Lineage: Eukaryota; Fungi; Basidiomycota; Agaricomycetes; Polyporales; Phanerochaetaceae. The record is from RNAcentral.
UUAUUCAGUAGUUCCAGACAUAGCGAAAUCUUUUUUUUUCGAAAUAAUAUUAGAAAAAAAGGUGUAAAGGUGAGUAAUAAUAAAUAAGAUACCCUAAAGUCUCCGUAAAUCGGAGAUAUUUCUUAACUACUCAGGAUCAGGUACCUGGCAGGGUGAACCUGCCUAGGUACCUGAUCGGUACCUGGGAGAUUAAGGAAAGUAGAUAAGCUAUUUAUAUAAAUAAAGGAAAUUUUCCGCUUUAGGAUUUGAUUUAUUCAGAUUAGGUAGUUGGGAGGGUAAAAGCCUACCAAGCCGACGAUCUGUAGCUAUGCUUGACAGAGCCGAUAGCCACAUUGGGAAUGAAAUCUCCCUAGUAGUAUUUAACUACCAGCAGUCUAGAGUAUUAGUCAAUGCUCGCAAGAGUGAACUAGCUAACUGGAAUCUUUCUUUAAUUAAGGAGAUAAGGUAAGGGAAAAUAAUGAUACUACCUUACUAUUAGUGUUGUCCAAAUCUGGUGCCAGAAGACUCGGUAAGGCCAGAAACGCGAACGUUAGUCAUCCUAAACAGGCGUAAAGGGUGUGUAGGCAGCUUCAUAUGAUUUUUAAUUAUAUAGCUCUCAGGUACCUGGGCAUAUGUCCAUCGGGGUGAGAAUUAAAAAUAGGCUGAAGCUAGAAUCUAAAAGGGGUUAAAAUAUAUAAUACUUAGAGUAGAGUUCCAAUUCAUAUAUACUAAGUAGAAUACUAAAAGCGAAGGCAUUUUUCCACUAAAGAUUGACGCUGAUAUACGAAGGUGGGGAUAGGAAAUAGGAUUAGAGACCCAUGAACCCCUCACUGUAAACGAUGAAUGGUAGUGAUCAGUUUUUUUAAAUUGAUUUCGAGGCUAACGCGAUGACCAUUCCGCCUUGUGAGUACGAUUCCAAAAUUGAAAACAAAAAAAUUAGUCGGUCUCGGAGCAAACGAAGUGAAGCAUGUUGUUUAAUACGAUAAUCCGCGUAAAAUCUUACCAGUUCUUGUAUAAAACUUAUGGUUUUUAAGAAAUUAAAAGUUGUAAGGAGUGUUUUUUAUAAAAAUGCUAACUACAGGUGUUGCAUGGCUGUCGUCAGUCCGUAUCGUCAGAAGUUAGGUUAACUCCACAAACGGACGAAAUCCCUUUUGUUAAUUUAUACUUAACAAAUAUGUGAGUCUGAUAUAGAUUCAUUUCGGGGCUAAGACAAGUCGUUAUGGUCCUCAUGAACUGGGCUAUAGACGUGCCGCAAAAACUUAACAAAGUGAUGCAAUACCCUCUCACUAUUACCAGGUACUUCGGUACUCCGGUACCCAGGUACCUGGUUAGUUUACUUUUUUAGUAAAUUGGGAAAUAAGGUGGAGCUAAUCAUUAAAUAAAGUUAAUAUACUAAAUUGUACCUGAUUGUCACCUGAAAUUCGGUGGCAUGAAGCAGGAAUUUCGAGUAAUCGUUGAUCAUUACGCAACGGUGAAGUAUGAAUCCGUGAUGAACUAACUGUCUGUCGCUGGGGCGGAGCUUAUAUCGAUGGAAAAUGGAAGUAGAGUAAUAUUUUACAUAGGUUUAGUUUUAAGCUAUUUUUAUAGUCAAUUAUCAAAAAAACACCUAUGUUAAGUUAUUUGGUUUUAGUAAAUUCGGUUGA